AUCGCUUCUCGGCCUUUUGGCUAAGAUCAAGUGUAGUAUCUGAGUAAAUUUGGCUAUUUCAUGAGACUUUAGUCUCCUACAAGAUGGAAAAUUUAACAAGACACCUAAUACUAGAAUAUAAUCAAUGAUUUUAGCAGUAAUUAUAAUAGGUGAAAUUAUUA
Molecule: small nuclear RNA, 161 nt
Organism: Rattus norvegicus (Norway rat)
Lineage: Eukaryota; Metazoa; Chordata; Mammalia; Rodentia; Muridae
Product: U2 spliceosomal RNA
Source: Ensembl